This 253-nucleotide ribosomal RNA is filed under the name uncultured bacterium. Its description in RNAcentral is "partial 16S ribosomal RNA". It matches the Rfam family "Bacterial small subunit ribosomal RNA", at positions 524 to 776 of the family's 1533-position model. The record is from RNAcentral.
UACGGGGGGGGCAAGCGUUGUUCGGAAUUACUGGGCGUAAAGGGCUCGUAGGUGGCCAACUAAGUCAGACGUGAAAUCCCUCGGCUUAACCGGGGAACUGCGUCUGAUACUGGAUGGCUUGAGUUUGGGAGAGGGACGCGGAAUUCCAGGUGUAGCGGUGAAAUGCGUAGAUAUCAGGAGGAACACCGAUGGCGAAGGCAGGUCUCUGGGCCGAUACUGACGCUGAGGAGCGAAAGCGUGGGGAGCGAACAGG